This 629-nucleotide long non-coding RNA is filed under the name Zostera marina. RNAcentral's name for it is "long non-coding RNA (ZMAR_LNC004042)". Lineage: Eukaryota; Viridiplantae; Streptophyta; Magnoliopsida; Alismatales; Zosteraceae. The record is from RNAcentral.
ACCUGUCUCAAUUUACAAUUUGAAAUUUGGGCUGAAGAAAAUAAUUUUUCUUCUUAAAGAACAACAUGAUGAUCAUAAGAAAGGAUAAAAGAUCAAAAAAAACUAAAUUCUAUUUUUAGGCACAAAAUCUUCCGAAAUUUAUAAUCAAAUAUUUUAAUUGGUGUGCACUGCAGUGGUUUCACAAUGUGCCAUUGUAUCUGUGGAGUGUAGAACAUGUAUUAGAAUAAAGACUAUAGAGGGCAAAGUGGGUAGGUGGCAAACCUGACACCUGUAGAAGAUUUUUCUCUAUCGUCGCAGCUUAAACGCCGAAAGAAGCAGCCUUUAACUCGAUGAUCAAAUUAACCAAAUGGUAGCCUAGAUGAUCGAACGUCCGGUUGGAUUAAAAAAGAAAUUGAGCAUUCAAAAACCUCUCCAUAUUACGAAGACCGAAGGCCGUAAGAGCAUUGUCGAUAAAAGGCAGAUGAAACUAUGAGUCCUCCAAACCCUAGAUAUGAUUGCCGAUUUGCCGACGAGAAAUUGAAUACGAAAAUCUUAUUCGAUUUAUUAGUUAAUCGUUAUUCUUUUUCGUUACUAAAUAUUAACUUAUUAUUUUAUUUGUAAAUAAUAUUAUUAGAAACCAUGGGUACGAC